Long non-coding RNA from Acanthopagrus latus (yellowfin seabream), 879 nucleotides. RefSeq lists it as uncharacterized. The record is from RefSeq and is a predicted model, not a curated record. NCBI's taxonomy places the organism in Eukaryota, Metazoa, Chordata, Actinopteri, Spariformes, Sparidae. The transcript is spliced from 4 exons.
UUGGCCAGAGGGGGGCAGAAGAUCUUUUGAAUGAAUGAUUGAUAGUGAACACAGACCUCACCCGAUGGCCUUGUUGUUUAAAGUUUAACAAUGUUUUUCACAUUCAGUGGACAUUUAUCAACGUUAACAUUCAGUUGGAGUCGUGUUCAUGGCCACCUGAAUGAAUGUAAGUGUGAAAGGUGUUAGGUCCGGUGGGGAGACGGAGGGCCCCGGAGAAGCCCCUUAGGACUGUUCAACAGAAACCAUACCGGGGGCAGAUGAUUCACAUCUGCUGCGACGUGACCGCAAGAACCCAUUGAAUGAAAAUUAGUAUCAACAUGGACGGAGCUGCAGAAGAGUGGAGCACUGAGGGAGGACCAGCGAGAGGACAAGCACACAGUCAACUCGACAGACGAAAGGGAGGCUCCCAGAUGUUCCUGAGGAGAGAUCUAUGCCAGCGGCUCAUGCAGGAAUGCAGAUUCCCUGGGAAACCAAAAAGUCUCCCUGUUCAGCCUCAGCUCCUGAUAGAUUGACACGAUCAUGACCUCACUACUGUCAGGAUACCUCAGGCCGUGGCUGUCACUGUCUCAUAUCAAAGAGCACGAAAAUAGUUCUGGGCUUUUAUGGUUUUUUGGUUGGGCGGAGCAGUUAAUGGUGGAGGAAGUACAAAAGAUUCCGUCCAAAAAGGACAAUAUUUUGAGUUGGGAUUUUUUUUUUUUUUUCAAGUAUUUGCAGUGAAAUGCAUUGAAAUAAAAGUACAUGUUGUCAAAGAAACCUCUCAAGGUCAAGCUCAAGGAAACUUGUUGGCUAAUCUUUUUUUAAUGCAGUGAUUAGAUGCAUUUCCAGCCAGAAGUGCCCAGAACUUUUAGUCCCUGGAUCUACUUUUCCACGAAAUAAACG